AUGGUCACACAAUCUACCAUGAUCGGACCGUCGCCAUCUACCCAGUACCAUAUAACUGGAAUUAACCGAUCCAAGUCGAAGAAGGAUUGGCCGGUGCUGCCGGCUGGCGUCAAGUUCAAUCCCACGGAUCAGGAGAGGAUCGAGCACCUUGAGGCCAAAGUGAGUGCUGACAGCGCGAGAUCUCACCCUCUCAUCGAUUUGUUCAUACCAACCAUCGACAGCAAGCACAGCAUAUGCUACACCCAUCCUCAGAAACUUCCAGGUAUCAGACUGAGUGGCCUAAGCACGCAUUUCUUCCAGCGCAAUUCCAGGGCAUUCAAAAGGGGCACGUGGACGCGUCGCAAGAUACAGUCAGAGUGCGGCAUGCACGCGAUGUGGCACAACACCGGCAAUACCUUGCCGGUGAUGGUCAACGGCCGGCAGACGGGCAGCAAAAAGUUUCUAGUGCUGCACACCAACAAGAACUUCGACCAGCAGAGGACCAACUGGGUGAUGCACUAG
This 501-nucleotide ribosomal RNA is filed under the name Triticum aestivum (bread wheat). Its description in RNAcentral is "partial small subunit ribosomal RNA". The record is from RNAcentral. Lineage: Eukaryota; Viridiplantae; Streptophyta; Magnoliopsida; Poales; Poaceae.